RNAcentral lists this long non-coding RNA (321 nucleotides) under Androctonus crassicauda. Lineage: Eukaryota; Metazoa; Arthropoda; Arachnida; Scorpiones; Buthidae. The record is from RNAcentral.
AAUGUUUAUGGCAAUUGUAUGAAUAUGUUUAUAUAUAUCUAAGUAGAUAGGGAUGGAUGCUAGUUCAUUUUUUGUAUCACUAGUUGUGUAUCUUGUCUGUUCCAAUCAAUUUCUAGUUAUGGGUUUUCAUAAUCACUUUAACAAAUAUAUAGUGGGCAAAAUAAUGACAGCAUUAUCAGAGGAGGCUUACCACAACGACAUACAUGUGGAAUGGGAAAAAGCUAAAAUAAUAAAACCUAUUACCGCUGCGACACAAUCCUACACCCAAGAAGCACUAGAGAUCACCAUGAAAUGAAAUAGGCAACACCUCGUCAAUGAUAG